This is a long non-coding RNA of Trichosurus vulpecula (common brushtail), 333 nucleotides long. RefSeq lists it as uncharacterized. NCBI's taxonomy places the organism in Eukaryota, Metazoa, Chordata, Mammalia, Diprotodontia, Phalangeridae. The transcript has 4 exons. The record is from RefSeq and is a predicted model, not a curated record.
CCCAGAGGUCAGAAAAGCCAGGCUGAGUGAAAGAAGUGAUAGCUGACAGAGGUCAUGGAAGGUUCAUCUGAUGCUCUUUGGUCUGGCUGCAAAGUUCUAAAGAAAUGGCCCGUCUGAAGAACAGGUUUCUCCAAGUAUGUGUUAGCAUUUGACCUCAGCCCAAAUGGGAAAGCAGCAAAUACAGAAGUGGGCAUUGGCCACCACCUCCAGUGACUCAUCAAAUCCAACGGGUUUACGUGCCAGAAACAGCACAAGCUUGUGGCAGGAAGAAGUUUGGCUCAACUAAUGGUCACUAACCGAAGAAUCCCACUGAACUUUCGGGAAAAGCCUGAC